Molecule: long non-coding RNA, 603 nt
Organism: Lycium barbarum (goji berry)
Lineage: Eukaryota; Viridiplantae; Streptophyta; Magnoliopsida; Solanales; Solanaceae
Exons: 3
Source: RefSeq, a predicted model, not a curated record
UCCAUUCUUGGAAAUAAUUAACGUGACUUUCAAUUUUAGGCAGCAUUCACGUAUAGUUACGGAAAAGGCAUAUCAUUCUCCUCACCUUAAUUUAGAGGAAAUCUUCUAUACAAAUAAAGGUGGCAAGCAAUCGUGGAGAACAUCAUACGAGUUCCUUCACCGCUUCGAUCUUGUUAUUCCGUUUUAUCACAUUGUUAAUUCGGGCUUUCUUCAAAAAUGAAGUAAGGUGGAAGCGGAGUAUUUGUUGGCAUAUGAGUGUUUGUAGACUGGUGAAGCUCAAGACCUAAGUUAUGGUUAAAUUGACAAGCGACAAGGUGUACCGGGAGACAGGCUUGAUUCAUAGCUACAUUCUCAGAGACUACAUAGCAAAGCUCCAUUUCAUUCGGAGCCAUAGCUUUUGGGUACUUAUUCUUUUGCGUACAUAAUUAUGGGCAUAGCGGGGUCCUGUCCCGCUCAUGUGAUAUGUUAUACUCUCCCUAGAGGCUCAUAGUCAAGUGUAUAUGGUUAGGUAUGUCUGGCCUUGUCGGCCUAUAUUUUGUAUGUCAUUUUGAUAGCCUUGUCGGCUUAUAUACAUUGAUGUGGCAUAGACGCCAAUGGUGAUAU